RNAcentral lists this unclassified non-coding RNA (213 nucleotides) under air metagenome. RNAcentral's name for it is "partial contains small subunit ribosomal RNA, internal transcribed spacer 1, and 5.8S ribosomal RNA". The stretch from base 1 to 46 matches the Rfam family "Eukaryotic small subunit ribosomal RNA", at positions 1786 to 1831 of the family's 1831-position model. The record is from RNAcentral.
AAGUCGUAACAAGGUCUCCGUUGGUGAACCAGCGGAGGGAUCAUUACAAGAGUGUAAAAACUCCCAACCCAUGUGAACCUUACCUCAGUUGCCUCGGCGGCCUACCCCCCCCGGGGGAGCCGCCAGGGGCCCCACCUAACGCUUUGUUUUUUGUGGAACUCUGAAUAACAAACUUAAUAGUUAAAACUUUCAACAACGGAUCUCUUGGUUCUG